Molecule: microRNA precursor, 88 nt
Filed under: Pelobates cultripes (western spadefoot toad)
Lineage: Eukaryota; Metazoa; Chordata; Amphibia; Anura; Pelobatidae
Source: RNAcentral
UUUUUAGCCUGAGUACAAGGACUGACAACUUUUUUGUUUAUAUAUAUAUAAACAAAAAAGUUGUCAGUCCUUGUACUCAGGCUAAAAA